UACGAAGGGGGCUAGCGUUGCUCGGAAUUACUGGGCGUAAAGGGCGCGUAGGCGGCACUGUUAGUCAGGCGUGAAAGUCCUGGGCUCAACCUGGGAACUGCGCUUGAUACGGCAGAGCUAGAGGAUGGAAGAGGCUCGCGGAAUUCCCAGUGUAGAGGUGAAAUUCGUAGAGAUGUGGAGGAAUACCGAUGGCGAAGGCAGCCUCCUGGGCCAACACUGACGCUCAUGCACGAAAGCGUGGGGAGCAAACAGG
This 253-nucleotide ribosomal RNA is filed under the name uncultured bacterium. RNAcentral's name for it is "partial 16S ribosomal RNA". It matches the Rfam family "Bacterial small subunit ribosomal RNA", at positions 524 to 776 of the family's 1533-position model. The record is from RNAcentral.